Cricetulus griseus (Chinese hamster) is the source of this 104-nucleotide small nuclear RNA. The record is from Ensembl. NCBI's taxonomy places the organism in Eukaryota, Metazoa, Chordata, Mammalia, Rodentia, Cricetidae.
UUGCUCCAGCAGUGGAUGCACUAAAACUAGAAUGAUACACAGAUUAAUUAGCAUGGCUGCUACUCAAGAAUGACAAGGAAAAUCAUGACACAUCCACAUUUUUC